This is an RNA transcript of Musa acuminata AAA Group (dessert banana), 2288 nucleotides long. RefSeq lists it as uncharacterized. The record is from RefSeq and is a predicted model, not a curated record. The transcript has 7 exons. NCBI's taxonomy places the organism in Eukaryota, Viridiplantae, Streptophyta, Magnoliopsida, Zingiberales, Musaceae.
GCUGUUCCGUUUCCAUAUUGUGCUUCGUGUUCCGUCCCGAUCGGAGGACGUGCUCGCGAUCGCCCCUCGACGGCCUGUCCGCUUCUCUCCUUCGAUCCCCGUCAAGAACUCGGAUCGGAGAGGGAAGAUAGAAGCGGAGCAGCCGCCGCCAAGAAACCUUCUUCGCUCUUCUCGUACGUCCUCUCCUCAUCUGAUCGAGCGGACCGGUUUUGUAUCAGGUGCAUUUGGUUAUAGACAAGAUCGAUGGCUUUGAGAGAGGGGUUCUUCCUUCUUCUUGUACUUGUUAUGAGCUGGGCAAGUGCUGAUGCCAGAAGUUUGAACAAUUUUGAUAUUAUGGUUCCCAUCACAGAAGCAGGCAUCGAGAGACCUCAAAGCCAGAGUAAAGUAGCCAAAGUAGACGAGGGCUAUGAUCAACUGUGCAAGUUGUGUGAGAACUUUACUGCACAGGCUACCCAAUAUCUUGGAGAAAACAAGACUCAAACUGAGAUAAUUGAGACACUUCAUCAAGCAUGUUCCGAGCUGAAGCCUUUCAAGGAUCAGUGCAUUCUGUUGGUCGACUACUAUGCCUCACUUUUCUUUGUUGAGAUCUCUAAGAUACAUCCGGAGGAGUUCUGCACAAAGUUCAGUCUUUGUCAGGAGAGAUUAUCUGUCAAGAGUGAUGAUGCCUGCUCUCUGUGUCAUGGUGUUGUUGCUAAACUACUUAUGAAACUGCAAGAUCCUGACACACAGUUCGAGGUGAUUAAAAUGCUACUUCAGGAAUGCAACAAGGUGGAGAAUUAUGUCCAAGAGUGUAAGAAGAUGGUCCUCCACUAUGGCCCUCUGAUACUGGUCGACGGCGAAAAAUUCCUAGAGAGCACAGAUGUUUGUGCUGCCAUGCACGCAUGCAAGACCAGCCAAGCAGAACUCGUCAGCACUGCCUUGGUGGCAUAAACAUCCUUAUAGCAUGAUACUGCACACAACGUACCCACAUGGAGAAAAUGUGAAAUGAUAAAUCAUGAAGAUGCAUGGACCCAGCUAACCGAUUAUCAAAGAUAAUUUUGUGACCUGGGUUUGCAUCCAUCUCACGAGGCUUGAUUGUUCAUCUACUGAAGAUACAGAUCCAAAGUAUUGAGAAGCACAACAAAUGAGGUUGUUUCAAGCUAUACUCCUUGGCUACAUUAGAAGGCCACUUAUUAUACGGAGAAGGGUAUGAGUCUUUCUCCAUGUUAGACAAAAACAGAUUUCCAUCCAUAUUGACUGGUAUAAAUGUGUCCUAAAUUUCCUUUCAGCUAAUCUAACCCAUACAAAUUCAUCGACUUGUAAAUGAUAGCAUAUUCAUUGCAUAUUUUUACCCUCUCAUAAAUUAUUAUUAUUAUUAAAACAAACAUAUAUAUAUAUAUAUAUAUAUAAUAUUUUUUUUAAUCUGACAUUGUGUCUGACAAAGUCAGUCUGGAUCAUUACUUCAAUAUCAUGUGUAUCUUCUAUUAAAUAUCAACACAGUCUUCCUAUGUGACUUAUUUUGACCGUCAACUCCCACCUCCUCCGGCUCGGGUCGGAUCCGACCCGAUUAGAGUUGGGCAUGGAAUUCGGCUCCACCAUCCCAUGAUAUCAUGUUCCCAUCGAUCCAUAAACGGAUCGGGUACGCGUGGAUCCGAUCAGCCGAUAGAAAUCCGAUCAGGCAACGAACAGCCCGACCUCUUUAGGUCGAGCCGCCGCUCCCCGCCUGUUCUCGCGAACCGAAGCCGAAGGAAUCGUAGUAUGUCGUCGUCUUCUUCGAGUCGAAGGGCUUCGCUUCCGCGGCGGGGCGUCGCCGACGGCGCCAGCGAGGGCGUCCUGGCCCGCGUGUCGAGCUCGAUCUCGCAGUCCUGGAUCGUCGCCCGGGGGAAGGCGGCCGCCGCCGAGACCGGCACCGUGGCGAAGAAGCUCCUCCGGAGCACCGGCAAGGCCGCCUGGAUCGCCGGCACCACUUUUCUCGUCCUCGUCGUCCCCCUCAUCAUCGAGAUGGACCGCGAGCAGCAGCUCAACGAGCUCGAGAUGCAACAGUCCACCCUCCUCGGCACCCCCACGCCGCCUCAGCCCUACGCCUCCGCGGCCCCCGCCAAGUGAACACGACGAUCAGGUCAGCGCCCGAUCUCGCCCCCCUUGAUCUCCGCUGCGGAUCAUAUGCUUCUUCUUGGGGCUUAGGUCGGCGGUCAUCUUCUUGUCUUGGAAAUAAGGAACUAUCAUGUGUCGGUUUGAUGAAUUAGGGUUUUGUUAGGAACUGGUAAAUUUCUCUUUCUUUUUGAAUCAAAAUAUUCAUCUUGGUUUCA